CGCUGGCGGCAGGCCUAACACAUGCAAGUCGAGCGGUAGAGAGAAGCUUGCUUCUCUUGAGAGCGGCGGACGGGUGAGUAAUGCCUAGGAAUCUGCCUGGUAGUGGGGGAUAACGUUCGGAAACGGACGCUAAUACCGCAUACGUCCUACGGGAGAAAGCAGGGGACCUUCGGGCCUUGCGCUAUCAGAUGAGCCUAGGUCGGAUUAGCUAGUUGGUGAGGUAAUGGCUCACCAAGGCGACGAUCCGUAACUGGUCUGAGAGGAUGAUCAGUCACACUGGAACUGAGACACGGUCCAGACUCCUACGGGAGGCAGCAGUGGGGAAUAUUGGACAAUGGGCGAAAGCCUGAUCCAGCCAUGCCGCGUGUGUGAAGAAGGUCUUCGGAUUGUAAAGCACUUUAAGUUGGGAGGAAGGGUUGUAGAUUAAUACUCUGCAAUUUUGACGUUACCGACAGAAUAAGCACCGGCUAACUCUGUGCCAGCAGCCGCGGUAAUACAGAGGGUGCAAGCGUUAAUCGGAAUUACUGGGCGUAAAGCGCGCGUAGGUGGUUUGUUAAGUUGGAUGUGAAAUCCCCGGGCUCAACCUGGGAACUGCAUUCAAAACUGACUGACUAGAGUAUGGUAGAGGGUGGUGGAAUUUCCUGUGUAGCGGUGAAAUGCGUAGAUAUAGGAAGGAACACCAGUGGCGAAGGCGACCACCUGGACUAAUACUGACACUGAGGUGCGAAAGCGU
Molecule: ribosomal RNA, 733 nt
Filed under: uncultured bacterium
Lineage: Bacteria
Description: bacterial SSU rRNA
Rfam family: Bacterial small subunit ribosomal RNA
Source: RNAcentral